This is a long non-coding RNA of Drosophila willistoni, 1241 nucleotides long. RefSeq lists it as uncharacterized. Lineage: Eukaryota; Metazoa; Arthropoda; Insecta; Diptera; Drosophilidae. The record is from RefSeq and is a predicted model, not a curated record. The transcript has 3 exons.
AAUUUAGAUCUGUUUCAACAAAAAUUAGUAUCUUGAAAAGGUUUUAUUGGUUAUAGGCCUAAACUUUUAAUUUCGGUAUUAUUUCUUUUUAAUCGGGGUUUAUUUAAUUCUUCCAUACGAAUGUCUUUAAAACAUAUUCCAUAAUUGAUUAAUUUUAAAACCUGAGAAAGUACAGAGAGCAGUAUGUAACAAAAGAAGAGAAACCAAAUACAUAUAUCUGAUCCAACAAAACACUAAAGCAAAUUGUUAGGAAUUUAUAAAAAUUCUUUGGUGUUCUUCAUAAGUUUAUUCCCAUUCUCAAGUAACUACGAUUUCUUUUGGCCAAGAAUAUUUUCCCAUCGUUUCAUCUAAGGAACUGGAAAAAACAGAAAAUGGCAGCAAUGUCACAUCAAAAUGCCGCAUUGAUUAAACUUUGAUUAGCUUUUGGCUUGAAGAAUUAAUUUGAGUUGAGUUGCAACGGGUAGCAGCAGCAGUUGCAAUAGAAGAAAAGAGCGCAAAUCGAAGAGAAACGCGAAAACAUGUGGCUAGACGAGUGCGUGAGACGAGCCAAUGACAAAUAUAGUCAAUGCAACUGCAACUGCAAUACUUCUGCGGCAUAUACUGCAUUUGGGCAUGAAAAGUACUAAGCCGUCAAUUGGAAAAACUUGCCCUGGAAAAACAGGCAGCAGAGGUACACACAGAAGAUGCCCACUCAGUCAGUUCACAUUGCCUGUUCCUUUGCCUUUGGCAGCAGCAAUAUCAACAACAAUAACAAUGAACAACUUGCUACAACGGCAACUCUCAUUAAGAUGCAAAAGAUGUCGCUUGCCGCUUUUUAGAAUUACUAAUUGAAUCGACGCGAUCAGUGGCAAUUGCAGCGGCAUUGGCCACAGCCAAUAAUAAUAACAACGAACGAAAAAACAAACAAACCAACAACAGCGGCAACAGCAGCCAACGCAACAACAGCCAGGGCGGUUUAAUUGUUUGUUGUUGUUACAGCUUCCGUUUGAAUGCAACACACAUUCGCACAUACAAAUCUAAAAACAUUCAGUCCUGAACGUGCACAUCAAUGCAAGCAAUUUGCUUUACACUAUUAUACAGUUGUACUAACAAAAAGAUUGUUACUUAGAACACAAAUUUAUACUUUAUUCGAAUAAUUUUUGAGUAUUAGCUCAAUGUGAUUUUUAUAAGAAUUUCAACAGUCUAACAUUAGCUAAAUCGAUCAAAAUCGAAAACGUUUUUCCUCUUUCAUUUUGGAUGUU